GAAAUCCGCUAAGGAGUGUGUA
This 22-nucleotide small nuclear RNA is filed under the name Arabidopsis thaliana (thale cress). RNAcentral describes it as "snRNA_16001". Lineage: Eukaryota; Viridiplantae; Streptophyta; Magnoliopsida; Brassicales; Brassicaceae. The record is from RNAcentral.